UUUUCUCACCAUUUUCCACCUACCAUACUCCAUAACCACCUCCAUAUUUCAUGCUUUUGGUGAACAACCUCGUUCACAUAUCUGUUCAUAUAUCUUGCUUCCUCUCAUAACCACUACAUACACUCAUAAAAUCAACAAUAUACAUUCUUUUUUAUACCAUCUAAAGAAUAACUUUCCAAAAUUUUCACCACAUCUCUCUCUGUAUUUCCAUUUUUUAUUAUGUGAACCUCUCACAAAAAUGCAUGAUAAAGACCACACAAAUAUUAAAACAAUCAUUUUCAUACUACUACAAAAUCUCUUUCACAUUAAAAUACCAUUAACCAAUAUAAGCAUUAUCACUUUCACCAUCAUUUUCAUCACGAAAUUUCUACCAUGGAAAACACUUACUUCAUAUACUUCAUUUCCUGAAUAACAACUAAACAACAAACCAUAACCUCUUUCAUUAAUCCUUUUCAUAUAAAACCUACAUCUUCUUCAUUUCCAACCAACUUCAUAUCUCAUCAAAACUCUCUUGGCACUCUUUUCUCUUCCAUACAAAACUAACACAUACAUCAUCACCUUCUCUCAUAAGAUUCUUCAUUCAUCCUACCCUGCCACGAAGCCAAACAUGUGUUCCUUUUUCGCAUAGUCGAUUCACUGUCUUAGCUGCUGCUGUUAGAUCCGUCGGCGCCGUCGUGGGUAUCGUCAUUUUUUCUUCCACUAUUUUUCAUGUGUUAUCUUGUUUGUUUUGAUUAACUGAUAUUUUAUGUGAUAUGUUUGAUGUAUCUUUGGGUUUAACAUUCGGCAAAAAAGUUGAACUUAAUCUAUUUUUUUCAAGUAAAAUGGAGAGAAGGCUCUGUUUGUAUUUUUUCUCUCGUCACAUGUGUUUUCAAUUUCCUGGAAUGUGAGUGUGUUGGUCUAUAUGGUUGAAAAUUCAACCAAUUACUUUUAUUACCUAUUUUAUUGUUCAAUGUUAUUUAUUAUAUAGUUUCAAAUUGGACAAUGAAAAAAGUGAUAACGUGUGAGGAGAAAAUCGGAGACAACUUUAGUUCUGUUUUCUACAUUUUUUUAAUUAUUUAUUAUUAUAAUUAUAAUUAUAAUUAUUUUGUUUGAUUUAUUAAUUUUGUUAUUAAUUUAGGAUUCUAUUUAUUGUUACUUUAUUUUAGAUUACAAGUCCAUUAACUCAUAGUCUCUUUUGC
This 1178-nucleotide long non-coding RNA is filed under the name Lathyrus oleraceus (garden pea). RNAcentral's name for it is "Pisum sativum (pea) long non-coding RNA (PSAT_LNC032511)". Lineage: Eukaryota; Viridiplantae; Streptophyta; Magnoliopsida; Fabales; Fabaceae. The record is from RNAcentral.